Molecule: transfer RNA, 73 nt
Rfam family: tRNA
About the family: Transfer RNA (tRNA) molecules are approximately 80 nucleotides in length. Their secondary structure includes four short double-helical elements and three loops (D, anti-codon, and T loops).
Source: Rfam
GGCCAGGUAGCUCAGUUGGUAGAGCAGGGGAUUGAAAAUCCCCGUGUCGGGGGUUCGAUUCCCUCCCUGGCCA